RNAcentral lists this ribosomal RNA (492 nucleotides) under uncultured bacterium. RNAcentral describes it as "partial 16S ribosomal RNA". It matches the Rfam family "Bacterial small subunit ribosomal RNA", at positions 29 to 507 of the family's 1533-position model. The record is from RNAcentral.
AGUGAACGCUGGCGGUAGGCCUAACACAUGCAAGUCGAACGGCAGCACAGUAAGAGCUUGCUCUUACGGGUGGCGAGUGGCGGACGGGUGAGGAAUACAUCGGAAUCUACUUUUUCGUGGGGGAUAACGUAGGGAAACUUACGCUAAUACCGCAUACGACCUACGGGUGAAAGCAGGGGAUCUUCGGACCUUGCGCGAUUGAAUGAGCCGAUGUCGGAUUAGCUAGUUGGCGGGGUAAAGGCCCACCAAGGCGACGAUCCGUAGCUGGUCUGAGAGGAUGAUCAGCCACACUGGAACUGAGACAAGGUCCAGACUCCUACGGGAGGCAGCAGUGGGGAAUAUUGGACAAUGGGCGCAAGCCUGAUCCAGCCAUACCGCGUGGGUGAAGAAGGACUUCGGGUUGUAAAGCCCUUUUGUUGGGAAAGAAAAGCAGCAGGUUAAUACCCCGCUGUUCUGACGGUACCCAAAGAAUAAGCACCGGCUAACUUCGUG